This is a long non-coding RNA of Dunckerocampus dactyliophorus (ringed pipefish), 202 nucleotides long. RefSeq lists it as uncharacterized. The transcript has 3 exons. The record is from RefSeq and is a predicted model, not a curated record. Lineage: Eukaryota; Metazoa; Chordata; Actinopteri; Syngnathiformes; Syngnathidae.
AUUAAGAAGAGAAGGAAGGUUGCUACUUUGUUCACAUGUGUAGCUAAGUUCGCCUGCAAAUCGUAUACAAGAUAUGACAACAAGGUGACACAUGCACGUUAGAAGUCAUGAGAGGCUGAGUCAGGCACACCUUGGGAAAGUCCCAGCACAGCGUCAUCGGGCAAGAGGAUUAGAUAUUAGAUCAGGUUUCAGACGCAGCACG